ACACACACACACACACACACACACACACGCAGAUCGGGCUGGGUGGUACAAUAGGAAGAGCCCCAUAGCCCAUCUCUAGGGUUGACUCGGGCAAGUUUCUGCACGUCCCCGUGCCUCAGUUUCCCCAUCUGCAAAAUGAAGGAUUGAGCUAGAUGGCCUCUUAGAGCCCUUUCAGUUCUAGGGUCUAGAAGAAACAUUCCCGCCUGCAGAAGGACAAGGUUGACCCAAAGGAUCUCCAGCCGCUGAACCCCACGUUCCCCACUUUACAGAGGAGGACGCCUCUGCAGCUGCGGAGAGGCUGUGUGGGUGAUGCAUGGCCGCAGAGCUGGCACUUUCCAAAUGCAGAAACUUGCUUUGAAGGACCUAUUGCAUCACCUCCUGCAGGCAUUCAAGGUCCUCACCAUAAGAGCCCAUUUCUAGAGUAAUUGUAGGUUUUCCUCACAAGCACCUUAUGAGCAGAAGCAA
RNAcentral lists this long non-coding RNA (465 nucleotides) under Monodelphis domestica (gray short-tailed opossum). Its description in RNAcentral is "lncRNA (ENSMODG00000045502.1)". The record is from RNAcentral. Lineage: Eukaryota; Metazoa; Chordata; Mammalia; Didelphimorphia; Didelphidae.